AAUGAAAUAGUUCAGUUGGGAGAACAGUAGAAUCAUAAUCUAAAAGUCGUGGGUUCAAAUCCCACUUUCAUUA
This 73-nucleotide transfer RNA is filed under the name Toxarium undulatum. RNAcentral's name for it is "tRNA-Met". It matches the Rfam family "tRNA". Rfam says of the family: Transfer RNA (tRNA) molecules are approximately 80 nucleotides in length. Their secondary structure includes four short double-helical elements and three loops (D, anti-codon, and T loops). Further hydrogen bonds mediate the characteristic L-shaped molecular structure. tRNAs have two regions of fundamental functional importance: the anti-codon, which is responsible for specific mRNA codon recognition, and the 3' end, to which the tRNAs corresponding amino acid is attached (by aminoacyl-tRNA synthetases). tRNAs cope with the degeneracy of the genetic code in two manners: having more than one tRNA (with a specific anti-codon) for a particular amino acid; and 'wobble' base-pairing, i.e. permitting non-standard base-pairing at the 3rd anti-codon position. The record is from RNAcentral. Lineage: Eukaryota; Bacillariophyta; Thalassiosirophyceae; Ardissoneales; Ardissoneaceae.